Molecule: transfer RNA, 77 nt
Filed under: Bacteroidota bacterium
Lineage: Bacteria; Pseudomonadati; Bacteroidota
Description: Bacteroidetes bacterium tRNA-Thr
Rfam family: tRNA
About the family: Transfer RNA (tRNA) molecules are approximately 80 nucleotides in length.
Source: RNAcentral
GCCGAUGUAGCUCAGUUGGCCAGAGCUACUGAUUUGUAAUCAGUGGGUCGGGGGUUCGAAUCCCUCCAUCGGCUCAA